UCAUCACCAUCACCAUCCUGAGUAGUCUUUCGGGAGAGUUGGUUUCGACUGGAAGACGAGGAAAGUUCUUCCACGGUCAGUAAAGCGAACACAAGUUUCAGACCCCCGGAAGAGCACCUUCCGGGGGUUUUUACUU
Molecule: regulatory RNA element, 136 nt
Organism: Enterovibrio coralii
Lineage: Bacteria; Pseudomonadati; Pseudomonadota; Gammaproteobacteria; Vibrionales; Vibrionaceae
Rfam family: Histidine operon leader
About the family: At least 6 amino acid operons are known to be regulated by attenuation. In each a leader sequence of 150-200 bp is found upstream of the first gene in the operon.
Source: Rfam